RNAcentral lists this ribosomal RNA (509 nucleotides) under uncultured bacterium. RNAcentral's name for it is "bacterial SSU rRNA". It matches the Rfam family "Bacterial small subunit ribosomal RNA", at positions 28 to 528 of the family's 1533-position model. The record is from RNAcentral.
GACGAACGCUGGCGGCGUGGAUUAGGCAUGCAAGUCGAACGGUAUCAUCCUUUCGGGGGUGAGAGAGUGGCGAACUGGUGAGUAACACGUAGGUUAUCUACCCUCAAGACGGGGACAACCCAGGGAAACUUGGGCUAAUACCGGAUGUGAGCAACUUUUAGUUGUUUGAAAGGUGGCGUAAGCUGUCGCUUGGGGAUGAGCCUGCGUCCUAUUAGUUAGUUGGUGAGGUAACGGCUCACCUAGGCAAUGAUAGGUAGGCGGCCUUAACGGGUGGUCGCCCACACUGGGAUUGAGAUACGGCCCAGACUCCUACGGGAGGCAGCAGUCGAGAAUAGUCUACAAUGGUCGGAAGACUGAUAGUGCGACGCCGCGUGAACGAUGAAUCCCUUCGGGGUGUAAAGUUCUUUUAUAUGUGAGCAGUGCUUCUUAUAUUAACAGUAUGGGGAGAGAGAUAUUAGCAUAUGAAUAAGCAACGGCUAACUCCGUGCCAGCAGCCGACGGUAAAACGU